GACACGCCCACCCCGCGGGGAGGGGCCACGGCAGGACACGCCCCCAGAGAGGGGCGGGGCCAGCGGGCCAGGCCCCAAGGGGGUGGGGACAAAGAGAAGGGGCGGGGCCUGAGGGAGGCGAGGCCCGAGAAGAGAGACAAAGCCCCGGAGGAGCCCCCAGCGAAGCUCCUGGACGAUCUUUUCCGGAAAACCAAGGCGGCCCCGUGCAUUUAUUGGCUGCCCCUCACCGACACCCAGUUCGUCCAGAAGCAGGCGGAGCGGGCGGCUCGGGCGCGGGAGCGGGAGCGGCGCCGGAAGGAGCAGGAGGAGGAGGAGCUUCGGCAGCGCCAAUCGGGCCCCGCCCCUCCGCAAACCCCGCCCCUCCCGCCGCAAACCCCGCCCCUUCCUCCCGCGACGGCUCCGCCCCCUCCUUGCGCAAAGGGGGCGGGGCUUCGACGUCAUCAUCGAGGGCGCCCCCUGGCGGGCACCGGAAACGCCGCAGCCGCUCCCGCAGCCCCCUCAGGGACAGGGGGCGG
Myiozetetes cayanensis is the source of this 515-nucleotide long non-coding RNA. RefSeq lists it as uncharacterized. The record is from RefSeq and is a predicted model, not a curated record. The transcript is spliced from 3 exons. Lineage: Eukaryota; Metazoa; Chordata; Aves; Passeriformes; Tyrannidae.